ACCAAGGUCCUAUUGUAAGUGACUCUGCAGCAGCAGUUGUGAUAGUCUCUUUAAGUCACUUUGGAGUCUGCUAAAUGAUAAUAUAUGUUUCUUUGUUUGAACCACAUUUUGGUGUCUUUACACUUGGUACGUAGGCAUAGUUGUAUUCUGUGAUUCUUAGUCAGGUUCCUUUACCAGUGCUGUCUUGUUUUGGAAAGUCUGCUUAUAAGAGUCACACAAUUCUGAACAUGUUCACAACAUGGCAGAUAAAUGCAGCCAAGUGUGUAGAAAACAUCUAGUUUGAUCGCUACACACUAUGUUCUAAUUGUAAAUGUUGCUAAAAAGUUUAGGGGAUUGAAUGCUAAAGUCACAGUGAAAAGGGCACUAAAGUUUUUAUGUUAGUUUUGUUUUUUCUUUGCAGUUUUUGCUCUGAGCCCUUAUUAGUUCUGUCAGCCAAAAGCUAUUUAAAUAUAACAUUUAAAAUAUAUUUGUGGAGGAGUAAGUGCCUAAUAAGCAAUCUAAUAAUUAGCAGGUGAUUGAUAUUUCUUGAUGUUAUUUCUUUGGUAUGCCUGUUUCAUCUCACAAUUUAAAAAAGUAUAUUUCUGAUUUUACAGAGCUUCGUUUGGACAAAAGACUUCCAACUACUGUGAAAAAGACCUGUGCAGUCACGAAAAAGCAGCACAUUGAACCAGAGCUUAACGUUCUUAUUUAUGAACCCGAUAACCCAGAGGCCAAACAAUUUACUCCCUUAUUGAAGAGAAGCUGCUGAUAGUGAUGCAUAUUUCUCACUAUCUCGCUCUUCAAAACUGUGGAGAAAUUGAACCUGCACUAAGGAGAUUCUGG
Molecule: long non-coding RNA, 822 nt
Organism: Polyodon spathula (Mississippi paddlefish)
Lineage: Eukaryota; Metazoa; Chordata; Actinopteri; Acipenseriformes; Polyodontidae
Exons: 3
Source: RefSeq, a predicted model, not a curated record